AAGGUGAAGGUGAAUUUUCAGCAGCCCUUUUCUUUAAGACAAAUGAACAAAUAACCAAAUAAAUAAAUACAUACGCUGACCCCAAACCUUUACAUUAUGUGUGUCUAAUGUAUGUCUUUUGUCUUUUAUAUUACAGAUCAUCUGUGGUGCCAUCAGCAAAUCAGUGUUGGUGAACACAGUUGCUAGUUCGAUCUCAUCUUGUAAUGAUCCAGCAGGAUUGUCCUUGUCUGUUAAAUGACUGCGUACUGAAACUGAUGAGUGCUUCUGCAUCGUCUUUGAAGUUUGAGAGCCUAAUUGCAUGGAGAAAAAUUCAUACAGGUUUGGAGUGUUAAGCGGGGAUGCAGGCCUGCUGCUGUUCUCUCCCUUCUCACUCUCACUGAAGCCCCAGACAGAAGCUCCCUGGAGACCUUCCUGUCUUGUUUAAACCUGACACAAAUUCCACGUCACAGUGCCCAGAGUGACGGCGCUUGUAGGCACAAAAUCAAAUAUUUCCUUUCCUGGUUGUACUCAACCCCCUCUACGCAUCCCCUCCGACACCUGAACCCUUCCUUUCCACACCAGUUCCAGCACUGCAGUCAGACUGGCAAGAGCAAAAAAGCUUUAGGAGUAACACGUUUAAUUCCUUUGGGAUUUCUCUAUAGUCUUCAGAUUAAUAGCGGGACAGGGACAAAAGGCCUUUUUUCACCUGCUGUUUCCUGCUCUGUCUGGCUGCAUGUCUCCAGGCCCUGGCUCUCUACGAUAGCAUCUCUCAUGCAUUCUACAGACAGUCGAAAAGCUCCUUGUAUUAGCAUUCUGAUGAGGAUAUAUUGUUGGAUAGCUGCUGAAUUUGAUCAAUUCUGAGUGUGGUGCAAUUUAAAGGAAUGAGGCUGUAACUUCCUGAGGGUGUGUAAUCCAACUGACCCUUUUGAUUAUUCCGAGAGAAAGUGCGGGGGUUGUGUUAAAUUACAUUGUGAAUGCAGAACACUCAACGUUCUCUUGAUUCUUACAUUUGCAACAUUUCAAAUGUUUUUGGCUGUUCUAGGUUACCGUGCAGAGUUUAUGAUGACAUGCAACAAGAUGUGAUGCAUUUUCUAUUUAUAAGGAAUGGCAUGUAUUUUAAAAACUUAUGCACAGAAACUAAAGCUUUUAAUAAUAUUAAUAUAAACAUUAGGUAACACUUUAGAAUAGGUAACACUUAUUAGUUGCUUAUUAGCAUGCAUAUUACUAGAAUAUUAGCCAUGUAUUAGUGCUAAUUAAGAACAUAUUAAUGCCUUAUUCUACUUGACCUUAUUCUACAUCCCUAAUCUUUCCCAAUACCUAAACAUAACAACUACUGUACCUUACGAACUAUUAAUAAGCAGCAAAUUAAGAAUUUAUUUAUUUUUUAUUUUUUUAAUGUGUGCAUGCCGGUCCUGUAUAAAUGUCUGUUUCUGUUAAACCACUAUAUAAUUAUUAUUAUUUUAUUUUUGUGUGUGUGUGUCAGCUCUCUUGUUUUCUGGACUAGUAGCUUAUAAUGUGUGAUCUAUGUAUUUUAUGAACAUGUACCAAUUCUUCUAGGGAAUGUGGAAUACUUGGUUCCGUGCUGUCAAUGCUGGGAAAUCUAGGAUGUCUUGUCUCAAGAUUUUCAUUAUUAUUAUUAUUAUUAUUAUUAUUAUUAAUAUACUAUUAUUAUUUAUUUAAAAAAAAUCCCUCUUUUUUUUUUCUUAAGCUGUGUGUGUGUGGGGGGGAUGGGAAGAUUGUAUUGUAUUGUAAUUGUAAUUGUUAAAAAUCCAAUAAAUAAAAUCUCAGAUCCAUUUGUAAGGGCAGAUACAGUUUGAUUGCAAAAAGAACUGUGUUCUUUGUUUCUUGGUUCAUUUUGGAUCCAUCAAAUGUGUUUCGAA
Molecule: long non-coding RNA, 1859 nt
Filed under: Carassius auratus (goldfish)
Lineage: Eukaryota; Metazoa; Chordata; Actinopteri; Cypriniformes; Cyprinidae
Description: lncRNA (ENSCARG00000051702.1)
Source: RNAcentral